RNAcentral lists this ribosomal RNA (732 nucleotides) under Triticum aestivum (bread wheat). RNAcentral describes it as "partial small subunit ribosomal RNA". Lineage: Eukaryota; Viridiplantae; Streptophyta; Magnoliopsida; Poales; Poaceae. The record is from RNAcentral.
AUGUCGGUCAAGAUUGCGGCAAUCAAAGAGGGCUUACGCUGGCCACUGCAAGUGUUUGGUCUCGUUGCUGCGCGCGACAACUUGGAUCACAUGCGCAACAUUAUUUUUCACCGUUCGAGAAAUAACUGUCAAACCAUCACCGAAGAGGAUCCAUAUCUUGCAUUGACUGGCCCUAGUCGAGCCAUUGCCGUGUCAGUGGACCCUUCAUACGUUGAGGUUUCCCUGAAAGUCAAGGGCACUACUGAAGCCGAGGAUAAAGACCUGAGCGAUCUCGUUUUGCUGCACAGAACCGGACGUUUCCUCGGCGGUCUUUACUCUAGCAGGCUCAGCACGUUGGAACUCGCCUUUGACCAUGUUACCCGCUCCGUAGAGGCUACAAUCUUUGUAAAACUAACUUAUGGGUCUUGGCCAACCGGUUUCGGAGGUGUGAUCACUGCCAGCAGCAGUUCUCGUGAUGACCUGAAAGUCAAGUUACUUGAUUCCGGAGAUGACGGGUUGCCCAUAGAUGCCAAUGGCGCGAUCAAGCUCUCACGUCGUGUGGUUUCUAUUGGACAUGUAGAGUCUCUUAACGUUUAUGUCACUGCAGGUCGAGUUGAUGAGAAACAAGUUGUUGAGAGUGGCAGGGCAACUUUUAAGGCGCAGAGGGCUGGUGUUAGCCUUAGUGAGCUCUGCCUUGGCUUCUGUAGUAUGAAUGUUACCGUUGCUUGGUCCUGUUUCCGUCAUGAGUGGUAA